UCCCCUUCGGGGGAUAAGUAAAGUGGCGCACGGGUGAGUAACACGUAGGUAAUCUACCUUCGGGUGGGGAAUAACCCAGGGAAACUUGGGCUAACACCGCAUAAUGCAGCGGCACCACAUGGUGACAGUUGUUAAAGCGGGGGAUUUUAGGACCUCGCGCCUGAAGAGGAGCCUGCGGCGGAUUAGCUAGUUGGUGAGGUAACGGCUCACCAAGGUAACGAUCCGUAGCCGGCCUGAGAGGGCGGUCGGCCACACUGACACUGACAUACGGGUCAGACUCCUACGGGAGGCAGCAGUCGGGAAUUUUGGGCAAUGGGCGAAAGCCUGACCCAGCAACGCCGCGUGAAGGAUGAAAUCCCUCGGGAUGUAAACUUCGCAAGAAUGGGAAGAAUUAGUAGGGGUUAAUACCCCCUAUGAUGACGGUACCAUUUGUAAGCUCCGGCUAACUCCGUGCCAGCAGCCGCGGUAAUACGGGGGGAGCAAGCGUUGUUCGGAUUUACUGGGCGUAAAGGGCGCGUAGGCGGUCAGCACAAGUCAGUUGUGAAAUCUCCGGGCUUAACCCGGAACGGUCAACUGAUACUGUGCGACUAGAGUGCGGAAGGGGCAACUGGAAUUCUCGGUGUAGCGGUGAAAUGCGUAGAUAUCGAGAGGAACACCUGCGGCGAAGGCGGGUUGCUGGGCCGACACUGACGCUGAUGCGCGAAAGCCAGGGGAGCGAACGGGAUUAGAUACCCCGGUAGUCCUGGCCUUAAACGAUGGAUGCUUGGUGUCUGGGGUUUUAUAGUCCCCGGGUGCCGCAGCUAACGCGUUAAGCAU
Molecule: ribosomal RNA, 816 nt
Filed under: uncultured Actinomycetes bacterium
Lineage: Bacteria; Bacillati; Actinomycetota; Actinomycetes
Description: bacterial SSU rRNA
Rfam family: Bacterial small subunit ribosomal RNA
Source: RNAcentral